RNAcentral lists this ribosomal RNA (405 nucleotides) under uncultured bacterium. Its description in RNAcentral is "bacterial SSU rRNA". It matches the Rfam family "Bacterial small subunit ribosomal RNA", at positions 356 to 773 of the family's 1533-position model. The record is from RNAcentral.
GGGGAAUAUUGCACAAUGGGCGAAAGCCUGAUGCAGCGACGCCGCGUGAGGGAUGAAGGCCUUCGGGUUGUAAACCUCUUUCAGCAGGGAAGAAGCGAAAGUGACGGUACCUGCAGAAGAAGCACCGGCUAACUACGUGCCAGCAGCCGCGGUAAUACGUAGGGUGCGAGCGUUGUCCGGAAUUAUUGGGCGUAAAGAGCUUGUAGGCGGUUUGUCGCGUCUGCUGUGAAAAUCCGGGGCUCAACCCCGGACUUGCAGUGGGUACGGGCAGACUAGAGUGUGGUAGGGGAGACUGGAAUUCCUGGUGUAGCGGUGGAAUGCGCAGAUAUCAGGAGGAACACCAAUGGCGAAGGCAGGUCUCUGGGCCACCACUGACGCUGAGAAGCGAAAGCGUGGGGAGCGAAC